UGAGUAAUGUCUGGGAAACUGCCUGAUGGAGGGGGAUAACUACUGGAAACGGUAGCUAAUACCGCAUAACGUCGCAAGACCAAAGUGGGGGACCUUCGGGCCUCAUGCCAUCAGAUGUGCCCAGAUGGGAUUAGCUAGUAGGUGAGGUAAUGGCUCACCUAGGCGACGAUCCCUAGCUGGUCUGAGAGGAUGACCAGCCACACUGGAACUGAGACACGGUCCAGACUCCUACGGGAGGCAGCAGUGGGGAAGAUUGCACAAUGGGCGCAAGCCUGAUGCAGCCAUGCCGCGUGUAUGAAGAAGGCCUUCGGGUUGUAAAGUACUUUCAGCGAGGAGGAAGGCAUUAAGGUUAAUAACCUUGGUGAUUGACGUUACUCGCAGAAGAAGCACCGGCUAACUCCGUGCCAGCAGCCGCGGUAAUACGGAGGGUGCAAGCGUUAAUCGGAAUUACUGGGCGUAAAGCGCACGCAGGCGGUCUGUCAAGUCGGAUGUGAAAUCCCCGGG
RNAcentral lists this ribosomal RNA (504 nucleotides) under uncultured bacterium. Its description in RNAcentral is "bacterial SSU rRNA". It matches the Rfam family "Bacterial small subunit ribosomal RNA", at positions 107 to 607 of the family's 1533-position model. The record is from RNAcentral.